This 497-nucleotide ribosomal RNA is filed under the name uncultured bacterium. RNAcentral describes it as "partial 16S ribosomal RNA". It matches the Rfam family "Bacterial small subunit ribosomal RNA", at positions 28 to 507 of the family's 1533-position model. The record is from RNAcentral.
GAUGAACGCUGGCGGCGUGCCUAAUACAUGCAAGUCGAGCGAACAGAUGAGGAGCUUGCUCCUCUGACGUUAGCGGCGGACGGGUGAGUAACACGUGGAUAACCUACCUAUAAGACUGGGAUAACUUCGGGAAACCGGAGCUAAUACCGGAUAAUAUAUUGAACCGCAUGGUUCAAUAGUGAAAGACGGUUUUGCUGUCACUUAUAGAUGGAUCCGAGCCGCAUUAGCUAGUUGGUAAGGUAACGGCUUACCAAGGCAACGAUGCGUAGCCGACCUGAGAGGGUGAUCGGCCACACUGGAACUGAGACACGGUCCAGACGCCUACGGGAGGCAGCAGUAGGGAAUCUUCCGCAAUGGGCGAAAGCCUGACGGAGCAACGCCACGUGAGUGAUGAAGGUCUUCGGAUCGUAAAACUCUGUUAUUAGGGAAGAACAAAUGUGUAAGUAACUAUGCACGUCUUGACGGUACCUAAUCAGAAAGCCACGGCUAACUACGUG